CGGGUGAGUAACGCGUGAGGAAACUGCCUCAAAGAGGGGGACAACAGUUGGAAACGACUGCUAAUACCGCAUAAGCCCACGGCUCGGCAUCGAGCAGAGGGAAAAGGAGUGAUCCGCUUUGAGAUGGCCUCGCGUCCGAUUAGCUGGUUGGUGAGGUAACGGCCCACCAAGGCGACGAUCGGUAGCCGGACUGAGAGGUUGAACGGCCACAUUGGGACUGAGACACGGCCCAG
This 233-nucleotide ribosomal RNA is filed under the name uncultured bacterium. RNAcentral describes it as "partial 16S ribosomal RNA". It matches the Rfam family "Bacterial small subunit ribosomal RNA", at positions 103 to 334 of the family's 1533-position model. The record is from RNAcentral.